GAAAGAUAAUCAUGACUCAAUCAGUGCAAUCUCACUUCUGAAGAAGUCUCUUACGACUGGGGCUAAACAGAAAGCAACGAUGUGAGUCUGCAGUAAUGACAAGUGUUUUCAGGCACCAGGAACCAGCUUAUUUUUUAACCUCCUGCAGUAAGUGUUGUCAUAUUGGAAGAUGGAAAUUCCACCCGGCAGCAUCCAUCUUAGAAACUGUUUAUAGCAUCAACUUAGAGAUGUGCCACAAAUUCACUCUUGAGAGAUGGAGACCAGUUUAGAGGAUCCUCUGGCUGCCAUUUCAGAUGAGAGCUUUCCAACGCUACUCAUCUUUCCUGAACAUUGUUUGUAAUUUCAUCACCUGAGUUUUAAAAUCCAAUCCGGCUGUCAAUUUCAUGGGUCCCAACAGUGAUGAGCAUCUCCAGGUGGUGGGCAGAGACUCGACAACUACCACAUCUUGUUGAAAUAGGUAAAGUCUUCUUCUGGUGUGAAUGAACUUUACUGUUCAACACUGAUAGAAGUAGAAAGCAACUGGAAGCACAGACGAUAAUUAUUUAAUUUGGAGAUACAGCAUGGAACAGAUCCUUCCGGCCCAGUGAGCUGCACCACCCAGCAUCCCACCUAUUUAACUCUAGCCUAAUCACAGGACAAUUUACAAUGAGCAAUUAAACUACUAACAGUACACCUUUGGAAUAUGGGAGGAAACUGGAGCACCUGGAGGAAAACUAUACACUCUCAGGAAAGAUAUACAAGCUUCAUACAGGCAACAUCGGAAUUGAGCUCCAAACUCCGAUGAUCCGAGCUGUGAUGGCAUCACGUUAACCACUGUGAUACCAUAGAGUCCCAACGUAUGGUAGGUUGGUAGUAAGUAUUUUAGGCAACACAUAGAAUUCAGAAAUGUGUUAAAU
Long non-coding RNA from Mobula hypostoma (lesser devil ray), 896 nucleotides. RefSeq lists it as uncharacterized. NCBI's taxonomy places the organism in Eukaryota, Metazoa, Chordata, Chondrichthyes, Myliobatiformes, Myliobatidae. The record is from RefSeq and is a predicted model, not a curated record. The transcript is spliced from 3 exons.